This 497-nucleotide ribosomal RNA is filed under the name uncultured bacterium. RNAcentral describes it as "partial 16S ribosomal RNA". The stretch from base 58 to 497 matches the Rfam family "Bacterial small subunit ribosomal RNA", at positions 39 to 507 of the family's 1533-position model. The record is from RNAcentral.
GGGGGGGGGGGGGGGGGGGGGGGGGGGGGGCGGGGGGGGGGGGGGGGGGGGGGGGGGGCGGCGCGGGGGUGGGCGGCGGGCGGGUGAGGAACACGGGGAUGACCUACCUAGGAGACGGGGGUAACUGCGGGAAACCGGAGCGACUGCCGGAUAAUCUUUUGAACCGCAUGGUUCCAAAGUGACAGACGGUCGUGCGGUCACUUAUAGAUGGAUCCGCGCUGCAUUAGCUAGUUGGUAAGGUAACGGCUUACCAAGGCAACGAUGCAUAGCCGACCUGAGAGGGUGAUCGGCCACACUGGAACUGAGACACGGUCCAGACUCCUACGGGAGGCAGCAGUAGGGGAUCUUCCGCAAUGGGCGAAAGCCUGACGGAGCAACGCCGCGUGAGUGAUGAAGGUCUUCGGAUCGUAAAACUCUGUUAUUAGGGAAGAACAUAUGUGUAAGUAACUGUGCACAUCUUGACGGUACCUAAUCAGAAAGCCACGGCUAACUACGUG